Molecule: non-coding RNA, 270 nt
Filed under: Medicago truncatula (barrel medic)
Lineage: Eukaryota; Viridiplantae; Streptophyta; Magnoliopsida; Fabales; Fabaceae
Description: Eukaryotic large subunit ribosomal RNA
Rfam family: Eukaryotic large subunit ribosomal RNA
Source: Rfam by way of RNAcentral
CUAAGUCAGAAUCCAAGCUAGCAUGCGACGCCUGCGCCCGCCGCUCGCCCCGACCCACGUUAGGGGCGCUUGCGCCCCCAAGGGCCCGUGCCAUGGGCUAAGUCGGUCCGGCCGAUGUGCCGUGAUAGGCCGCCUCGAAGCUCCCUUCCCAACGGGCGGUGGGCUGAAUCCUUUGCAGACGACUUAAAUACGCGACGGGGCAUUGUAAGUGGCAGAGUGGCCUUGCUGCCACGAUCCACUGAGAUCCAGCCCCAUGUCGCACGGAUUCGU